CUAGCUACUUGGAGGUGUGUAAUAAAUGGCACUGUCGCAAUUUAAGAAAGAAUCUAUAUUUUUUAGAGAUGAGAUCAGAAGAGCACAAGU
Molecule: long non-coding RNA, 90 nt
Organism: Lynx canadensis (Canada lynx)
Lineage: Eukaryota; Metazoa; Chordata; Mammalia; Carnivora; Felidae
Exons: 4
Source: RefSeq, a predicted model, not a curated record